GACGAACGCUGGCGGCGUGCUUAACACAUGCAAGUCGAACGGAAAGGCCCUGCUUUUGUGGGGUGCUCGAGUGGCGAACGGGUGAGUAACGCGUGAGUUACCUGCCCUUGACUUUGGGAUAACUUCAGGAAACUGGGGCUAAUACCGGAUAGGAGCUCCUGCUGCAUGGUGGGGGUUGGAAAGUUUCGGCGGUUGGGGAUGGACUCGCGGCCUAUCAGCUUGUUGGUGGGGUAGUGGCUUACCAAGGCUUUGACGGGUAGCCGGCGUGAGAGGGUGACCGGCCACAUUGGGACUGAGAUACAGCCCAGACUCCUACGGGAGGCAGCAGUGGGGAAGAUUACACAAUGGGCGGAAGCCUGAUGCAGCAACGCCGCGGGCGGGAUGACGGCCUUCGGGUUGUGAACCGCUUUCGCCUGUAACGAAGCGUGAGUGACGGUAAUGGGUAAAGAAGCACCGGCUAACUACGUG
RNAcentral lists this ribosomal RNA (468 nucleotides) under uncultured bacterium. RNAcentral's name for it is "partial 16S ribosomal RNA". It matches the Rfam family "Bacterial small subunit ribosomal RNA", at positions 28 to 507 of the family's 1533-position model. The record is from RNAcentral.